RNAcentral lists this long non-coding RNA (1933 nucleotides) under Sarcophilus harrisii (Tasmanian devil). RNAcentral describes it as "lncRNA (ENSSHAG00000024791.1)". The record is from RNAcentral. Lineage: Eukaryota; Metazoa; Chordata; Mammalia; Dasyuromorphia; Dasyuridae.
UUUUAGCAAGCAGUCUACAUGAGUCAUCGUCUGAAUAGCAAACUCAAUAGAGUAAAAAAAAAAGUCUUCCCUUUUAAAAAGAUUAAUCCCAAUAGAACCCAGGUCCUAAAAGAGGUUGCUUCUUGUCUUGAAAACAUUUUAAGAGGGGGCGAAAAAAUGUAUUUUGCAAGCUCUAGAUAUGUUGAAUGUAUUAUUUUCUAUAACAGUACAUUAAAAGCUUUAGAUUGAAAUUUAUGACUAGCAGACAAAAACAAAAUAGAGUAUUUAAUAUUUGUAAAUAAGUGGCAUGAAAUUGUACAUUUUUUUUUACUUUUUUAAAGUUAUGUUCUUAAAAUAUUGUGCAGGCCUCACCUCUGUUAGAUCUUAAUAUAUUGUUAUAUUCUGUGGAAACAUAUUUAAAGCCUGCAUAUAAAAGAUUAGGAAUCAAUAAAAGCAUAAAAGACAAAGAUAUUGGAUGGAAUUAUACAGAUGGAGAGAAAGCUGGCAAUUUCAAAAAUACUUGAUGCAGAGUAGUGAGUAAAUUGCUCUCUGAUCCAGUUAUAGAGAAAUAUUCAAAUUUAGGCUACUGUGUGGUAGAGAAAAUACUUUUUUUUUUAAAAAGUUCCAGCUAGAAAAUCAUCUGUAUAUCACUGCUAUAUUUGCUGAUACAUAACUGUUAUAAUAAGCAAUGUAAUAUAUGUAGCAUUCAAUACAAAAAAAUCAUACACAAAGAAUGUACAGAAAAUAGAUUUUAUUGAAUAAACUUAUUACAUUUCAUUUUUACUGUAGCAAUAUCUUUGUAGGAAUACUACGUAAGGGCUUAAAAUAUACAAUGUUCAUUUUGCAGGUAUACUAUUUGUUAUUCCCUAGAAAAUAAUUCUAGUCAGUUUCAUUACUGUUGACAAGUUUAGAAAUAAACAUUUAAGUGGCAGGUAUUUUUGAAGUGCUAUGUUUGACUGAAAAGAGUUUUGAACAUAUUUAAUUUAGUAAUACAGAAUUCAUGAGACAUGUUCUGAAUACAUUUAAAAAACCACCACAUGAAACUUUAGCAGAAAUUUUCAGUGACACAGUUGAGUUCCAGUCAUAAAUGUGGGGCAACAUUUGAUUAAGUUUUUUCUCUGAAAGCUUCUAUUUAAUAAAAAGAAAAAAAAAUACUAGUAUGUGUGUAUGUGUAUAUAGAUGUAUAUCUAUACCUAUAUAUGACAUAUAGGUAUAUAUCUACACAUAUUACACAUACAUAAACACAUAUAUAUUCACAUAAAGGGAAUGUUCAACUUACAUAAGAUUUAGUGCUACUUAAAUUUGAGGCACUAAUGUGAAGUUGACCCAAGGAUGUCUCAUGUUCUGCUAUCAUGUGUAGAUAUAUGUACUAAAAACACAAUAAAAUAUGGCUCGUUAACUUCUCUGUAUUUGUUUAUCUUGUUUUGUUUUGUUUGGGGUUUUUUGGGUGUUCAACUACUGUGUUAAUUUAGAGAGUUUUAUGCUCCAAGUUACAGCUAAUUAUUUUUGGUCUGCAUUUUGCACAAUAGAUAUGGAUAUUAAUUAAGUUGUCUGCUUUUUGCUAUGCAACGAUGGCAUUAUAUGACAUCUUUGUUAGUAUAUGUGGGUAGUAUUUUAUUGUAUGAAUUGAUUGCACAGUUUAUUGAAGACCAGAUAUUUUAUGUAGCUUUUCUACAGUGCUUUGCUAAACCAUGUAAUUCUAGUAAGUCUUCCUUGAAUAUAAUGGUACACUCUUAUAGAGGACAGUUCCUGUUUACUCCUGGGAUAAUUUUAAUGAUGACAUUGAAUGUUUAUUGCACCUCAGUGCAGUGAUGUGGCAAUAAAACCUAAAACUAAUAGAGGUUGUUUAUGGCAGACGCAUGCAUUGCUUUACAGAGUUUAGCAAAAGCUCUUUAUGUCAGGCUGUAAUUCUAUUAAAAUAAUAAAGCUAAAAUUAUUCAGUAACAAAAUGAAA